GAUGAAUGCUGGCGGCGUGCCUAACACAUGCAAGUCGAGCGGUAACAGGAGUAGUUUACUACUUGCUGACGAGCGGCGAACGGCUGAGUAACGCGUGGGAACGUGCCCCAAAGUGAGGGAUAACUGCCCGAAAGGGUGGCUAAUACCGCAUAUGGUCUUCGGAUUAAAGGAUUUAUCCGCUUUGGGAGCGGCCCGCGUUAGAUUAGGUAGUUGGUAGAGUAAUGGCCUACCAAGCCUACGAUCUAUAGCUGGUCUGAGAGGAUGACCAGCCAGACUGGAACUGAGACACGGUCCAGACUCCUACGGGAGGCAGCAGUGAGGAAUCUUCCACAAUGGGCGAAAGCCUGAUGGAGCAACGCCGCGUGAAGGAUGAAGGCCCUCGGGUUGUAAACUUCUUUUAUAAGUGAAGAAUAUGACGGUAACUUAUGAAUAAGCACCGGCUAACUACGUGCCAGCCGCCGCCGUAA
Molecule: ribosomal RNA, 467 nt
Filed under: uncultured bacterium
Lineage: Bacteria
Description: partial 16S ribosomal RNA
Rfam family: Bacterial small subunit ribosomal RNA
Source: RNAcentral